This 229-nucleotide unclassified non-coding RNA is filed under the name air metagenome. Its description in RNAcentral is "partial contains small subunit ribosomal RNA, internal transcribed spacer 1, and 5.8S ribosomal RNA". The stretch from base 1 to 46 matches the Rfam family "Eukaryotic small subunit ribosomal RNA", at positions 1786 to 1831 of the family's 1831-position model. The record is from RNAcentral.
AAGUCGUAACAAGGUUUCCGUAGGUGAACCUGCGGAAGGAUCAUUAAUGAAUAUAAGAGGACUCAGUCUCUGGGCCUCGACCUUCAUUUAUCAAACACUGUGCACCGUGAGCGAACGCAUGGCCCUUGAUCGGGUUGUGUUACUAGCUCUUUUUUCUUAUCAAACACAAGUCUUUGUAUGUGAAAUCUAUAAACAAAUAAAACUUUAAACAACGGAUCUCUUGGUUCCC